UGUACUUGGUGUUACUGCGAAGGGGGGACGGAGAAGGCUAUGUUGGCCGGGCGACGGUUGUCCCGGUUUAAGCGUGUAGGCUGGUUUUCCAGGCAAAUCCGGAAAAUCAAGGCUGAGGCGUGAUGACGAGGCACUACGGUGCUGAAGCAACAAAUGCCCUGCUUCCAGGAAAAGCCUCUAAGCAUCAGGUAACAUCAAAUCGUACCCCAAACCGACACAGGUGGUCAGGUAGAGAAUACCAAGGCGCUUGAGAGAACUCGGGUGAAGGAACUAGGCAAAAUGGUGCCGUAACUUCGGGAGAAGGCACGCUGAUAUGUAGGUGAAGUCCCUUGCGGAUGGAGCUGAAAUCAGUCGAAGAUACCAGCUGGCUGCAACUGUUUAUUAAAAACACAGCACUGUGCAAACACGAAAGUGGACGUAUACGGUGUGACGCCUGCCCGGUGCCGGAAGGUUAAUUGAUGGGGUCAGCGCAAGCGAAGCUCUUGAUCGAAGCCCCGGUAAACGGCGGCCGUAACUAUAACGGUCCUAAGGUAGCGAAAUUCCUUGUCGGGUAAGUUCCGACCUGCACGAAUGGCGUAAUGAUGGCCAGGCUGUCUCCACCCGAGACUCAGUGAAAUUGAACUCGCUGUGAAGAUGCAGUGUACCCGCGGCAAGACGGAAAGACCCCGUGAACCUUUACUAUAGCUUGACACUGAACAUUGAGCCUUGAUGUGUAGGAUAGGUGGGAGGCUUUGAAGUGUGGACGCCAGUCUGCAUGGAGCCGGCCUUGAAAUACCACCCUUUAAUGUUUGAUGUUCUAACGUGGACCCGUGAUCCGGGUUGCGGACAGUGUCUGGUGGGUAGUUUGACUGGGGCGGUCUCCUCCUAAAGAGUAACGGAGGAGCACGAAGGUUGGCUAAUCCUGGUCGGACAUCAGGAGGUUAGUGCAAUGGCAUAAGCCAGCUUGACUGCGAGCGUGACGGCGCGAGCAGGUGCGAAAGCAGGUCAUAGUGAUCCGGUGGUUCUGAAUGGAAGGGCCAUCGCUCAACGGAUAAAAGGUACUCCGGGGAUAACAGGCUGAUACCGCCCAAGAGUUCAUAUCGACGGCGGUGUUUGGCACCUCGAUGUCGGCUCAUCACAUCCUGGGGCUGAAGUAGGUCCCAAGGGUAUGGCUGUUCGCCAUUUAAAGUGGUACGCGAGCUGGGUUUAGAACGUCGUGAGACAGUUCGGUCCCUAUCUGCCGUGGGCGCUGGAGAACUGAGGGGGGCUGCUCCUAGUACGAGAGGACCGGAGUGGACGCAUCACUGGUGUUCGGGUUGUCAUGCCAAUGGCACUGCCCGGUAGCUAAAUGCGGAAGAGAUAAGUGCUGAAAGCAUCUAAGCACGAAACUUGCCCCGAGAUGAGUUCUCCCUGACCCUUUAAGGGUCCUGAAGGAACGUUGAAGACGACGACGUUGAUAGGCCGGGUGUGUAAGCGCAGCGAUGCGUUGAGCUAACCGGUACUAAUGAACCGUGAGGCUUAACCUUACAACGCCGAAG
RNAcentral lists this ribosomal RNA (1517 nucleotides) under Shigella sonnei. Its description in RNAcentral is "bacterial LSU rRNA". It matches the Rfam family "Bacterial large subunit ribosomal RNA", at positions 1440 to 2925 of the family's 2925-position model. Lineage: Bacteria; Pseudomonadati; Pseudomonadota; Gammaproteobacteria; Enterobacterales; Enterobacteriaceae. The record is from RNAcentral.